GCGCGCGACAUGGUCGUCCUCCCGACCCAGCGGCGCUCAAAACUUAACUUGAGUUGUGCGGGAUUACGGGCGCGGCUCUCUGCAGCGACCCUCCAUCCCCCGGUGUUGUCACCGGUAUGCGGUGUGGUCCCUCGGGGCCGUCACCGUGCCACAGCAUACCGUGAGUGUGCACGAUGUGACCCCAAAGAUGGUGAACUAUGCCUGAUCACGUUGAAAUCAUGGGAAACCCUGAUGGAGGACCAAAUCAGGUCUGACGUGCAAAUCGAUUGUCAGAAUUGGGCAUAUGGGCGAAAGACCAAUCAAACCAUCUAAUAGCUGGUUCCUUCCUAAAACCAUCUAGUAGCUGGUUCCUUCCGAA
RNAcentral lists this ribosomal RNA (358 nucleotides) under Topomyia houghtoni. Its description in RNAcentral is "eukaryotic LSU rRNA". It matches the Rfam family "Eukaryotic large subunit ribosomal RNA", at positions 682 to 996 of the family's 3401-position model. Lineage: Eukaryota; Metazoa; Arthropoda; Insecta; Diptera; Culicidae. The record is from RNAcentral.